Molecule: ribosomal RNA, 373 nt
Filed under: uncultured organism
Description: bacterial SSU rRNA
Rfam family: Bacterial small subunit ribosomal RNA
Source: RNAcentral
CGGAGGGUGCGAGCGUUGUCCGGAAUCACUGGGCGUAAAGGGCGCGUAGGUGGCCUGUGGAAGUCUGCGGUGAAAGCCCGGCGCUCAACGCCGGGUCGGCCGUGGAUACUCUCGGGCUUGAGCUCACUAGAGGCAGAUGGAAUUCCGGGUGUAGCGGUGGAAUGCGUAGAGAUCCGGAAGAACACCGGUGGCGAAGGCGGUCUGCUGGGGUGAUGCUGACACUGAUGCGCGACAGCGUGGGGAGCAAACAGGAUUAGAUACCCUGGUAGUCCACGCCGUAAACGAUGGGCACUAGAUGCUUGGGGGAGCGACCCCCUGAGUGUCGUCGCUAACGCAUUAAGUGCCCCGCCUGGGGAGUACGGCCGCAAGGCUG